Molecule: ribosomal RNA, 119 nt
Filed under: Arabis alpina (gray rockcress)
Lineage: Eukaryota; Viridiplantae; Streptophyta; Magnoliopsida; Brassicales; Brassicaceae
Source: RNAcentral
GGGUGCGAUCAUACCAGUACUAAUGCACCGGAUCCCAUCAGAACUCCGCAGUCAAGCGUGCUUGGGCGAGAGUAGUACUAGGAUGGGUGACCUCCUGGGAAGUCCUCGUGUUGCACCCC